CCUGCCUCAUACAGGGGGAUAACAGUUAGAAAUGACUGCUAAUACCGCAUAAGACCACAGAGCCGCAUGGCUCGGUGGGAAAAACUCCGGUGGUAUGAGAUGGACCCGCGUCUGAUUAGGUAGUUGGUGGGGUAACGGCCUACCAAGCCAACGAUCAGUAGCCGACCUGAGAGGGUGGCCGGCCACAUUGGGACUGAGACACGGCCCAAACUCCUACGGGAGGCAGCAGUGGGGAAUAUUGCACAAUGGGGGAAACCCUGAUGCAGCGACGCCGCGUGAGCGAAGAAGUAUUUCGGUAUGUAAAGCUCUAUCAGCAGGGAAGAAAAUGACGGUACCUGACUAAGAAGCACCGGCUAAAUACGUGCCAGCAGCCGCGGUAAUACGUAUGGUGCAAGCGUUAUCCGGAUUUACUGGGUGUAAAGGGAGCGUAGACGGCUGUGUAAGUCUGAAGUGAAAGCCCGGGGCUCAACCCCGGGACUGCUUUGGAAACUAUGCAGCUAGAGUGUCGGAGAGGUAAGUGGAAUUCCCAGUGUAGCGGUGAAAUGCGUAGAUAUUGGGAGGAACACCAGUGGCGAAGGCGGCUUACUGGACGAUGACUGACGUUGAGGCUCGAAAGCGUGGGGAGCAAACAGGAUUAGAUACCCUGGUAGUCCACGCCGUAAACGAUGACUACUAGGUGUCG
This 682-nucleotide ribosomal RNA is filed under the name uncultured bacterium. Its description in RNAcentral is "bacterial SSU rRNA". It matches the Rfam family "Bacterial small subunit ribosomal RNA", at positions 125 to 825 of the family's 1533-position model. The record is from RNAcentral.